CCAAGAUGGGGGUGGGAGAAGAGAGAAAUGUUCUGUAGAAAAAGAUUGCCUGAGCAGAUUCUCCACAGAAAAGGGAGUUGAAAAAUCUAGUUGAGCAGAGGAGGAAAAGUGGCUGUGUGAGUUCUGAUUGGAUAUUUCUGCAAGCAAGAGAAGGAAAGAUAUUAUUGCAGGGCUUUGAUUCAGCAGACUAUACAGAGUUGAGGACCAAAGAUUCCAACUGAGAUUCAGGAAAUGUGUUGAAUUAGGAGAGGUGCAGUGAAGUAAACUCUAGCCCACCCAAAGGUUACUCAGACACAUCUAAACUCUAGCAAAAGUCUCCCUUGCCUGAGACAGAGAGGUGACUUACAGUAACAUAGAUGGAGGGGAUGUAACACAUUUCACUGGGACAUCAAAUACUGCACCUUUGGCAACUGGCGUUCUGAUGUUAAUUCUGGAAAGCCCAGUAAGUUGGUUCAAAUGGGUUUUUUCUGUCUUUCAUACACCCAAUCACCCCCCAAAUAGCUUUUUUUUAGACACAAGUUAAUUCAUGGACUGUUACUUUAUUCAAUUCUAUUGGUUAAUUAGAAAAUGCAUUAUUAACUUACAUCCAGCAGUGUGCACUGGAAUGUUAUUUUGAACUAUAUACAUUUUUGUACUGGGAUUUCAGUUUCCACAGUGUAAUGACUGAAUCUGCCCACAGAUUUUUUCAAAAGUUGCUUUAUUUAUGUAUUCAUAUAUUUCAUGAAAUAUAUUAUUUUGAUCUGUGUCUAUAUAUAAUUUUUAAAACCAGCAUAUUUUAGACUUCUUUCAGAAAAUUGAGACUUUCUAUUGUUAGCGUUUAACUUUAUUACUUCUUUGUGUUCAAUUAUAUGAUUAUUUCAGAGCAGUUUUACCAUAAAUGAAAUUAUUAUGUACUGCAUUUAUAUGACCUAGCAACAAACAGAAGAAACUUGACUUUAGGCUCAAAAACCUUUAUUAAAGAAAAGUCUCAAAUCAGUACCUGAAAGAGCCUCUAGCUCAGGGAUAGUGGCCAAGAAAGAAUGCAAGAGCGCUAGUAGGGUAGGUUUAAAAAAUGUCCUGACAGAGUCAAGGUGAUGGCCAUUUUUAGCUGCCCUGCUAUCCAUCACCUCUUUCAGCCAGGCAUACUCCAUCAUAUGCAACAGCCUCAUGAAUUUAUGCAUCAAGCUGUGCAGCCAGUCGUGCCGAGGGCUCUGGUGACAAGUGAAAUUGCUGUGCGCCUCAUUUAGCUGUUUAUUGCGCCUGAGUACGUGUUGCAGCUGUCAUCCUACGAUGGGAUGAUAGUGCUCGUUAAUAGACAAGACAGGCAAAUAAUGAUGGAGACUACAGCAAGAGAUGCUUAGCUGCCAAUAGGCUCUCAGAAAUAUCAUAUACAUCCACAAAGUUUUCGAUCAAAAAUAACACUGCAGGAAAUACUGGGGCCAGCAGCUUUUUUUUUUUUUUUAAAUCUGACUAGCAACAGAGGUUAAACUUUUGAAAAAGUAGAGCCCAAUAUGCUACAUAAUUGAACUUCCUGGUGUUUGUGCUUUUUUCAGUCUGCUAACCUUUGAAAGGAAUGGUUAGGAAAUGGUAAAAUAAACUAUUGUGGUAUCCCCCCCCCCUCCCGGUUGGUUCUCUAAUUAAAUCCCCACCUGACAUAGGGCAAAAUAUUCUGCCUUAUUUGAACAUUGUGCCUAACUGUACUGCACCAGGAAUUUGUGAGCAUUGUUUUGGGGUUGUUUGGAAGUUUUGUUUUAUAAAUUUCAGUUUCUCAGUUAUGUGGCAGUCUAUCAGCCCAUCUGUGUAGAUUCUCUGAAAAAAUGUGUUGUCUUAGUGGCAUACAGAAUCAUCUUUGAUACAAAAAUGAAUUAUUCUGCAAAAACACAUUUCUUGUGGGAAAUAUAGGACAGAAAUUAAUACAAAUUUCUGUUUCUGAAACUCUGUCUGUAAAGAUAGUGCUGUGCUUUGCCUUUUAUCUGUACAGUGAAAUCUGUGAUACGCUGCCUUUUACAACAUUUACCUUGCUGUGAUGUACAAAAUUCGUAGCUCCAUGUAACAGCUUUCUAGACUAUAGCGUGAAUUUUUUAAUUUACUUAUGGGAAAAUCAAUUUUGUUUACUACUUAAAUCCACUAAUUAAAACAGGAGAUAAAGGGUUAAUGUGUUUGAUGUAAUUAGAGAAAGUGCUUGUGUUUGUUAGAUGAAGAAACUUUAUGUAAACGCUCCUGGAAUUUUCUGUGGAAAAGUACUCUUACACAGCAAUUUAAUUUGUAAUUGGUAGGCACUUUACUACAUAUGAAUUGUAAGGUUUACACUUGGAAUAGAUGUUAAACAAUAUAAAACUCUAUACACAUGCUCAAAAGAUGUAAUUGCAGUGUAUAAUAUGCUAUAAUAAAAAUAAGAGAAUUGCUGGCUAUUUAUUCAGGUUUAAUAAACAUUUUCUAAAUGUAACUGACAUGGCUUUUCAGAUUAUUAGGAUAUAAUAAGUGAAAAGAGAGACAGCAAAAAAUAAUCACAAUAUAUAAUGUAAUUUAUAUGUCCAUUAGGCUGCUAUCAGUGUAACACUGACCUGGCAGAAAUGAAUAUACUGUAGAUUUAUGGUACUUUGCAAUUAUAGCACCUUUCAUGUGUUGGCCUCAAAGUGUUUUAAAAGGGGGUAAGUAUUAUUCUCAUUUUAUAGAUGGAGAAACCGAUGAAAGUAAAGUUAAAUGACCUAUGGUUUGUUAUUUAUAUUGCAUUCUAUUACAUUUAGCAUAUUGUAUUUAUACUCUUGUUUGUUGUUUAUAUUAU
Dermochelys coriacea (leatherback sea turtle) is the source of this 2764-nucleotide long non-coding RNA. RefSeq lists it as uncharacterized. NCBI's taxonomy places the organism in Eukaryota, Metazoa, Chordata, Testudines, Dermochelyidae. The record is from RefSeq and is a predicted model, not a curated record. The transcript is spliced from 4 exons.